RNAcentral lists this ribosomal RNA (248 nucleotides) under uncultured Russula. RNAcentral's name for it is "partial 28S ribosomal RNA". It matches the Rfam family "Eukaryotic large subunit ribosomal RNA", at positions 1 to 240 of the family's 3401-position model. The record is from RNAcentral. Lineage: Eukaryota; Fungi; Basidiomycota; Agaricomycetes; Russulales; Russulaceae.
UGACCUCAAAUCGGGUGAGACUACCCGCUGAACUUAAGCAUAUCAAUAAGCGGAGGAAAAGAAACUAACAAGGAUUCCCCUAGUAACUGCGAGUGAAGCGGGAAAAGCUCAAAUUUAAAAUCUGAUGGCCUCUGGUCAUCCGAGUUGUAAUUUAGAGAAGCGUCUUCCGCGCUGGACCAUGCACAAGUCUCCUGGAAUGGAGCGUCAUAGAGGGUGAGAAGAAUGGAGCCACGGCUUCUGGAGCCGGG